GAAAUGCGAUACUUGGUGUGAAUUGCAGAAUCCCGUGAACCAUCGAGUCUUUGAACGCAAGUUGCGCCCGAAGCCAUUAGGCCGAGGGCACGCCUGCCUGGGUGUCACAUGAAGAAC
RNAcentral lists this unclassified non-coding RNA (117 nucleotides) under uncultured fungus. RNAcentral describes it as "sequence contains ITS1". It matches the Rfam family "5.8S ribosomal RNA", at positions 50 to 154 of the family's 154-position model. Rfam says of the family: 5.8S ribosomal RNA (5.8S rRNA) is a component of the large subunit of the eukaryotic ribosome. The record is from RNAcentral. Lineage: Eukaryota; Fungi.